This 468-nucleotide ribosomal RNA is filed under the name uncultured bacterium. RNAcentral describes it as "partial 16S ribosomal RNA". It matches the Rfam family "Bacterial small subunit ribosomal RNA", at positions 28 to 507 of the family's 1533-position model. The record is from RNAcentral.
GACGAACGCUGGCGGCGUGCUUAACACAUGCAAGUCGAACGGAAGGGCGCGGCGUUUGCUGCUUGCUCGAGUGGCGAACGGGGGAGUAACACGUGAGUAACCUGCCCUUAACUGAGGGAGAACUUCAGGAGACUGGGGCGAAUACCGGAGAGAAGCUCCUGAUCCGUGGGGGGGGUUGGAAAGUGUCGGCGGUGGGGGAUGGACUCGCUGCUUACUAGCUGGUUGGUGGGGUAGGUACGUACAAGGGCUUUGACGGGUAGCCUGCAUGAGAGGGUGACCGGGCACAUUGCGACUGCGGUACGGACCAGAAGCCUACGGGAGGCAGUAGUGGGGAAUCUUGCACAACGGGCGGACGUGUGAUGCAGCAACGCCGCGUGCGGGAUGCCGUCCUUCGGGUGGUAAACAGCUUUCGACUGUGCCGAAGAGUGCGUGACGGUAACGGGUAAAGAAGCAACGGCUAACUACGUG